UGGGGAAUAUUGGACAAUGGGCGCAAGCCUGAUCCAGCAAUGCCGCGUGUGUGAAGAAGGUCUUCGGAUUGUAAAGCACUUUCGGCGGGGACGAUGAUGACGGUACCCGCAGAAGAAGCCCCGGCUAACUUCGUGCCAGCAGCCGCGGUAAUACGAAGGGGGCUAGCGUUGCUCGGAAUUACUGGGCGUAAAGGGCGCGUAGGCGGUUUGGUCAGUCAGGCGUGAAAUUCCUGGGCUCAACCUGGGGGCUGCGCUUGAUACGGCUGGACUAGAGGAUGGAAGAGGCUCGUGGAAUUCCCAGUGUAGAGGUGAAAUUCGUAGAUAUUGGGAAGAACACCGGUGGCGAAGGCGGCGAGCUGGUCCAUAACUGACGCUGAGGCGCGAUAGCGUGGGGAGCAAACAGG
This 404-nucleotide ribosomal RNA is filed under the name uncultured Acetobacteraceae bacterium. Its description in RNAcentral is "bacterial SSU rRNA". It matches the Rfam family "Bacterial small subunit ribosomal RNA", at positions 355 to 776 of the family's 1533-position model. Lineage: Bacteria; Pseudomonadati; Pseudomonadota; Alphaproteobacteria; Acetobacterales; Acetobacteraceae. The record is from RNAcentral.